Molecule: ribosomal RNA, 505 nt
Filed under: Escherichia coli
Lineage: Bacteria; Pseudomonadati; Pseudomonadota; Gammaproteobacteria; Enterobacterales; Enterobacteriaceae
Description: partial 23S ribosomal RNA
Rfam family: Bacterial large subunit ribosomal RNA
Source: RNAcentral
UGGACGCCAGUCUGCAUGGAGCCGACCUUGAAAUACCACCCUUUAAUGUUUGAUGUUCUAACGUGGACCCGUAAUCCGGGUUGCGGACAGUGUCUGGUGGGUAGUUUGACUGGGGCGGUCUCCUCCUAAAGAGUAACGGAGGAGCACGAAGGUUGGCUAAUCCUGGUCGGACAUCAGGAGGUUAGUGCAAUGGCAUAAGCCAGCUUGACUGCGAGCGUGACGGCGCGAGCAGGUGCGAAAGCAGGUCAUAGUGAUCCGGUGGUUCUGAAUGGAAGGGCCAUCGCUCAACGGAUAAAAGGUACUCCGGGGAUAACAGGCUGAUACCGCCCAAGAGUUCAUAUCGACGGCGGUGUUUGGCACCUCGAUGUCGGCUCAUCACAUCCUGGGGCUGAAGUAGGUCCCAAGGGUAUGGCUGUUCGCCAUUUAAAGUGGUACGCGAGCUGGGUUUAGAACGUCGUGAGACAGUUCGGUCCCUAUCUGCCGUGGGCGCUGGAGAACUGAGGGG